UGGGGAAUAUUGCACAAUGGGGGAAACCCUGAUGCAGCAACGCCGCGUGGAGGAAGAAACCCUUAGGGGCGUAAACUCCUUUUAUAGUCGAAGAAGAUGACGGUAGACUAUGAAUAAGCACCGGCUAACUCCGUGCCAGCAGCCGCGGUAAUA
This 153-nucleotide ribosomal RNA is filed under the name uncultured Campylobacterota bacterium. Its description in RNAcentral is "uncultured Epsilonproteobacteria bacterium partial 16S ribosomal RNA". It matches the Rfam family "Bacterial small subunit ribosomal RNA", at positions 355 to 525 of the family's 1533-position model. Lineage: Bacteria; Pseudomonadati; Campylobacterota. The record is from RNAcentral.